GACGAACGCUGGCGGCGUGCUUAACACAUGCAAGUCGAACGAUGAAGCCCUAGCUUGCUGGGGUGGAAGAGUGGCGAACGGGUGAGGAACACGUGAGUAACCUGCCCUUAACUCUGGGAUAAGCACUGGAAACGGUGUCUAAUACUGGAUAUGACCUCUGGAGGCAUCUUUGGGGGUGGAAAGAUUUAUCGGUUUUGGAUGGACUCGCGGCCUAUCAGCUUGUUGGUGAGGUAAUGGCUCACCAAGGCGACGACGGGUAGCCGGCCUGAGAGGGUGACCGGCCACACUGGGACUGAGACACGGCCCAGACUCCUACGGGAGGCAGCAGUGGGGAAUAUUGCACAAUGGGCGCAAGCCUGAUGCAGCAACGCCGCGUGAGGGAUGACGGCCUUCGGGUUGUAAACCUCUUUUAGUGAGGAAGAAGCGAAAGUGACGGUACUCACAGAAAAAGCACCGGCUAACUACGUGCCAGCCGCCGCCGUAA
This 484-nucleotide ribosomal RNA is filed under the name uncultured bacterium. RNAcentral describes it as "partial 16S ribosomal RNA". It matches the Rfam family "Bacterial small subunit ribosomal RNA", at positions 28 to 523 of the family's 1533-position model. The record is from RNAcentral.